GGGGGGGCGGGGGGGACGUGGAGGGAGUGUCACCCGACCGCAGUGCCCGCUCGGGGCGCGCAGAGGCUGCGUGGACCCCGAGAGAGGGCAACCAGCAACUUCGUGCCACCCUAGAGAGCGCUACCCGGGCCGCCUCCCUUCCUGCUCGCAGCCCUGGGAGCCACCCACGUCUUAACCAGAGCAGGAAGGCAUCGAGUCAGGACUAACCUCGGGGGCCCAACCUCAGAACCUGACUGCUGUCGAGUGGGAAGAUAAUCCCAAACCCCGACAAGUAGCUGCAGAUUCACAACUGACUUCCAACCAAGUGUGACCCUGGGCAAAGCGCUAACACUCUGAGCAUCAGUUUCAAUGUCUAUUAAAUGGGGAUAAUUAUAGUUCCGCCUUUUACGGAAUCACUGAGAGCACGAACCUCAGAAAGCAUUUAGCAGAAAGCCUGGCUGAUUUUGCCGUGCCUUACUAAAUGGGAUGAGCUAUCAUG
Long non-coding RNA from Macaca mulatta (Rhesus monkey), 478 nucleotides. RefSeq lists it as uncharacterized. NCBI's taxonomy places the organism in Eukaryota, Metazoa, Chordata, Mammalia, Primates, Cercopithecidae. The record is from RefSeq and is a predicted model, not a curated record.